GACCCCAGGUCAGGCGGGAUUACCCGCUGAAUUUAAGCAUAUCAUA
This 46-nucleotide ribosomal RNA is filed under the name Parietaria laxiflora. Its description in RNAcentral is "partial 26S ribosomal RNA". The record is from RNAcentral. Lineage: Eukaryota; Viridiplantae; Streptophyta; Magnoliopsida; Rosales; Urticaceae.